RNAcentral lists this long non-coding RNA (1895 nucleotides) under Papio anubis (olive baboon). RNAcentral describes it as "lncRNA (ENSPANG00000044646.1)". Lineage: Eukaryota; Metazoa; Chordata; Mammalia; Primates; Cercopithecidae. The record is from RNAcentral.
GGCAUUACAUUCUUCAAAGUAUUUCCUCUUGACUAGUCUGUCUUCUGUACUAUAGAAUAAGCAACUUGAAGGCAAAGAUUGCAUCUUACUACAUUUGUAUCUUCAAGCCUGGUGCAGUACUUGGCCUUUGGUAGGCUUUCAACCAAUGUUUACGGAAAAACAAAUCAUGCCACUCAGCGAGGCACCCUUUCUGCCUCACCACAUGAUAAGCAGAGAAGGAGAGGAGUAGAAAUAAAUCGUAUGGCGCACUCCCCGAUGUGCCUUGCAAUCUGUGUACAUUAUUUUAUUUAGUGACAGACUGAAACUUUGAUAGAAGCAUAAUCAUGUGGUAGGAAAGGAUAAAUAAUUGUGCUUUUAUACUCUCUUGCUACUUACUGCUGCAGAGUCUCGGGCAGCUAAUUAAGACUCUAAGAACCUUGGUUUUCUCCUAAAAAAAUCAAAGAAUAUAAUAAUAAUUGCCUUGCCAACUUCACAUUGUUUUAGUGAGGAGCAAAUAAGACAAUGUAAAUGAAAGAGAGAUACAAACUAUGCAUAUUAUACAAGUAUGUCAAUAUUAUUUCUCAAAUUUUUAUAGAGCAUAGAUGAUACUGCCAAACAUGAAGAAGAUGCUUCAGUUUUCAGGAAUUUAAUCAAAGGUGAAACCAUUAUCCCACUGUUAAUCAUUGCAACAAGCUGCCUUGCUGAAGUAAAAUUACUGGGAGUCCUGGACCCUUCUUCUGACGGACAGCUUCCCACAGUGGCAGAGAAGCAGCCAUCUGAACGUUUUUCUUUGAUGUCUCCACAUCUGGGUAAGUUCUCUGGUGGCUUGGGGACUCUGAGGUCUCCUCUGAAGCAAUGUGGUUCAUCCAUUCCCUUCUGUAGGAUCCCCUUCCCUGCCUCUCCCUGUCUUCCAUACCUAUUGGGGCAAACACAAUUUGGCCAGGUGGAUAGGCUCUAAUUUUGUAAAUAACUUGGAUCCAUCUGUCUUGUAUGUAGGUCUCUUCCUUUGUGUGAUGCGAGUUGUAUCCAGCAUGCUAUCAAAUUGGCUUAUAAAUAAAAGAGUGCUCAUGAAUUAAACAAGAAUAGGCUAAACUUGAGAGUUGGAAGAGAAUGUCGUGUCUUCUAAAAUUUAACUUCAAGAUUUUUACCUAGGUAAAUCACUGAUGUUUUUAGGCUUUAGAAUAUUUUAAAAAGCUUUGAAAGGGUAGCUUUGUGUAUGGUUUAAAUUCUUAAAAUUAUAGAAUGGUUCUCAUCUAUAAAAUCCCAGUAUUUGAUGGGCAGUUCAGAAUUUUCUGCUUCCUAAGUUUAUAUGAAAUGUGCCAGGAAAGAUGUAUUCUUAAUUGGAAAAAAGAAUAAUAUUUUUUCCAAUCUGGAACUUAUUAAAAGGCUGGUUGAACAUGUGAAGGAACAAGUGAAUAAAAAAGAAAGAUAUGAGGAGAGUUAUGGAUAGAAGAUACGUUUUUUGUGUGUGUGGGGAGGGAUAUAAAGAAAGAGUGAUUUUGCAUGAGGAGGGAUCUUGUGUGGUAGAUUCUUUUCCUAGAAUAAAGUGACAGGUUAUUUGGGAGAGAGGUGGCAUAGGAUAGGUCAGAGAGUCCAAGCAUUGCCAAAGAGUGAUGGGGUUUGUAAAGGGAAAGUUGUCAGGGGGAUUUUGCAUAUGAUUAAGCUGGCUGUGAAGAAAAAUUGUGGUAGACUUUCUAGAAAAUAAUCUACAUAUCGGAACUGGGGUUUCUUAAGGUAUUUGAUUUGCAUUACAGGAAAUUUGUCUUUUAAUGCUAUAACUGGUUUCUUUUAAAACUUCUCAGAUUCAUAUCAAAGAUGUUCAACUGUUACUGUGACUUACUCCCUUUGAGAAGACCUGAGAUAAUAACUUUGCUUUAGGUUUUUAGUCAGCUCCUAUAAUUUUUUCUCCUCCAGUU